Molecule: transfer RNA, 77 nt
Filed under: Verrucomicrobiota bacterium
Lineage: Bacteria; Pseudomonadati; Verrucomicrobiota
Description: Verrucomicrobia bacterium (activated sludge metagenome) tRNA-Met
Rfam family: tRNA
About the family: Transfer RNA (tRNA) molecules are approximately 80 nucleotides in length. Their secondary structure includes four short double-helical elements and three loops (D, anti-codon, and T loops).
Source: RNAcentral
CGCGGGGUAGCCAAGAGGAAAGGCAGCGGCCUCAUACGCCGCCCAUGCGCCGGUUCGAUCCCGGCCCCCGCCAUCCA